CGUCGCGGGUUCGUAGUUUUGAGAGAUAUCUUCGAGCUAUCCCCCUACCUGGCGCGCCAACUGUUGAUGCACGAAUCACACAAGUACGAAAAUGGGAUCUCUAGGGAAGGAAGAAGAAUCUUUCUAUUAAUGACGAGCCCGCGACUUAGGCGAAUUGGACGGAUUACAAAGGAUGAUUUCUUCAACGAGCAUAAAUGGAGUAAGAACGAGCCGAUUGUAGAUGAAAGACGAGCUUGAGGCCGGAAGACGAUCUUGAUGUCCGAGGAAGAAUAGAGUUUAUUCGUUUUAUAGCUGAACCUUGUAAAAGGUUGCCUACGUACCCUUAGAAAGGGAUCAAGCCACACGUAGUUCAUAUUAGAAUAAGUGAGCUAGGCCAUCGUUGGAGGUAGGUCGGCAGGUAGGUGACGAGCCGGCAGAUGUGCGAUGAG
RNAcentral lists this small RNA (428 nucleotides) under Arabidopsis thaliana (thale cress). RNAcentral's name for it is "ATSL135440". The record is from RNAcentral. Lineage: Eukaryota; Viridiplantae; Streptophyta; Magnoliopsida; Brassicales; Brassicaceae.